UACGGAGGGUGCAAGCGUUAUCCGGAUUCACUGGGUUUAAAGGGUGCGUAGGCGGUUUAUUAAGUCAGUGGUGAAAGCCCGGAGCUCAACUUCGGAACUGCCAUUGAUACUGAUAGACUUGAGUACAGAUGAAGUGGGCGGAAUGUGACAAGUAGCGGUGAAAUGCUUAGAUAUGUCACAGAACACCGAUUGCGAAGGCAGCUCACUAAAGUGUAACUGACGCUGAGGCACGAAAGCGUGGGGAUCAAACAGG
This 253-nucleotide ribosomal RNA is filed under the name uncultured bacterium. RNAcentral's name for it is "partial 16S ribosomal RNA". It matches the Rfam family "Bacterial small subunit ribosomal RNA", at positions 524 to 776 of the family's 1533-position model. The record is from RNAcentral.